AAAAGAGAAAAUAAGGCAUUUGGGAUGCCGAUGUUAAAAGGAGAAGGUAAUCAGAGAAGAAAAAAGGAAGUCGGUGGAGAGUUCUGCGAAGAUUUUGAAGAUUUCUAGCAGAGAAGCAGGGGGUUCUGGAGAAGGGAAUAGACUUGGCCAGAUACCCAGGAAGACUUCCUCAACAGAUGUCCCAUCAUGCUGAGAUUCAACGCGACAUUUUAGAGUCAUGCAACCAUGUGAGAAAAAAAGUCCCAGUAACCUUUGUUGGGGCUGGAGGGCAGGAUCCCGAGGUCCCGGAGGAGCUGCUCCACCUCCUCCAGCCAGGACAGCGCGUGCCUCAGGACGUCCAGCACCACCUUCUGGAGCCCCGAGACAGGUGGGCUCACCUGGAGGUGCUGAAGAAGGUCGACCUCCUUCUUCAGGUCAUGGCUGCAACAGGAUAUUUUCAUGCAAGCCUGCAAAGAGGUGAGAUCAUGAGGAGCCCAGGCCCUGUGGCCAGAAAUAGCCCCUGACGUGACCUUCGAGGAACAGCGUUCUUGACUCUGCCACGAAGCAGGCAGCGCCACGUAUUGGCCGCCUUGGGAGGACUCAGUUUUUUUCUUUUUUAAAAUUUUUAUGUUUUGACAGGUUUUUUUUUAAUACUCUAAUUUGGACUUUUGAUGGUCAAAGCGAACCCCCUUUUAGGUCUAUGAAACCCCAGAGCCAAAGUACCAUCAACAGUUUGGCUGCAAUGAGAAGCAAAUGUGGCUACUUCUUUUUUCCAUUCGUCAGAAUUCCUGCCAAGAUCAACACACAAGCUGGUCGGAAAGCGUGGUUUCCUGAUUUGAAAGAGUGCUGACAAGCCAGCAUUUGCACAAACUCCCCAAACAGGAGCUGCUGAUUUCCAGAGAAAGCAGAAGCCACCGCCUGCUCUGAUAAGCCAUGUCCCAGGGUGGGGGCCGCAGGGCUGUGGCCAAGUCCUCCCGUCCCUGCUCCUCCAGAGUCAAAAGCAACGGUGUGGAAACCGCCUUUUGUGGCUGGGCCAAAACAAGAAAAUGCAAAUAAAAAGCAGGAAUGUUUCUUUGGUUUCUCUGGAAAUAACAUAGGGGCUAUGAAAACAAUUUCUUUUUGGCUGGGGAUGCGGGCCGCUCAAAGUCAGUAAUUGAAGAUGCUCAGGCAUCUUUUUUGGACACGCCAAGUUCUCCCGGGAGGCAUUUUUUUAGGCCCUUUGUUUUUUCUUCUCCAACAAGUUUCUCCAACAAGAGGAAAAAGUGGAUAGAAAAGCCAAGCAUUUCUGCCCAACUUGCUCCAAAAAAGCUGGGCAAUUUCCCAAAUAAGCCGCACAAAAAUUAGACAAAGAGACCAUUUGUGGAAAGCGUAAGGAGGGGCCACCUGGCAGCUGUCCAGCGACGUCCUCAGCUUCUCGAUGUUCUCGGUGGUCUCCUCCUGCUUGGAGUUGCUCAGCUGGGUCUCUUUCUGGAGGGUCCACUUUUUCUGCUGAAAAUUGAUGUUGUCCUCAGUGACCUGGGUAAUUUUCUCUAUUAACUGGUGAGAAAAAGAAAAAGGAAAAAAAAAAAAAAGAUGUAACAUACAGGGGUGGGGGGCCCUGAGGGAAGGGGAAUGGGAGAGGGGAGAGAUGCAACUUAAGUCCCUGUCUAAGCACGGGAGGACAGAGGUCCUGAUAUGUCUUGGUGAUGGCUGUCAAGGGGGACGUUGGUCCUGUCACCAGGGAAUGAGUCCCAGAAUCAGAGAUUCUCUUUUCUUUUUUCUUUUCUUUUUUUUUUUUUUGCGACGGAGUUUCACUCUUGUUGCCCAGGCUGGAGUGCAAUGGUUUGAUCUCGGCUCACCGCAACCUCCGCCUCCUGGGUUCAAGCGAUUCUCCUGCCUCAGCCUCUGAAGUAGCUGAGAUUACAGGCACGCGCCACCAUGCCCGGCUAAUUUUGUAUUUUUAAUAGAGAUGGGGUUUUACCAUGUUGGUCAGGCUGGUUUCGAACUCCCGACCUGAGGUGAUCCACCCGCCUCGGCCUCUCAAAGUGCUGGCAUUACAGGCAUGAGCCACCACUCCUUGCCGAUCAGAGAUUAUUUUUAUGAUCCAAAGGCCUGUCUUGUGGCCCUGAGUUUGUUCCAGAUUCUUCUGUGUUGUAUAGGGAUUCAGAACACUGAGCCUGAUAUUAUGGGCUCAUAAGCAGCAGGUCAGGUUCUCCCACACCCACUGAGAGCAGCCCACGGCACAUUUUCCCAUCUGUGCUUUGACACAGGGGGCUAGAAAGUGUAGUGGAAGAACAGCAAGGCAAUCAUUACAGCCAGACAUCCACCCUCACUGCCACUGUCAACUUUUCUCCUCUGAAGGAACGCGCCAGAACGCACUGGCUGUGGGGAGGCGGCUCCCUUUCUCCCAGUGCUAAUGGAGGCGAAACAUGCAUGUCUGGAGACCAGAAGUAAGCCCGAAUGGUUUAAUUUGAUUUUCACAGACACAUUUCAAGGGAGUUUUAACUGGCUUUUACUUUAAAAGCCAGGAAAUCCCAUAAAAUCAAAACAAAUCUUUAUGGUGUAGCAACAGUGUGAAAAAUAUGCCACCAACAAAAACAGAAACAUAUGCUCCCAGGGUCUGGAAUCCAGAUCCACGAAGAAGAAGAAGAGGAAAGUGAAGGAGCCACGUGGCAGGGACGGCAGACUAACCUGUUGGUCGGUGACGGGCUUGUCCCGGAACGGCUUCGCCCGUCCAUAGGUGGCCUUGAUGACUUGACUUCUGAAGUGCUCCAGCUGCAGCAGAGAGGGGGCAACAGUGUCAGGGGGUCAGCAGGGGCCGGCAAGUGGGGGCAGCGUUUCCAUGGCAGGGUGCGGGAAACACCACUUAGCAGGGUUUGCACGCCUGAAUGACCAUUCCGCGUUAUCAGAAUCUUCACCGCUCACGGGGAGUGGCGGGACCCACAGAAGAAAAGAGAACAGCAGGCUUUAAUUACUUUUUAGGCACGCCUGCCUAACCCGAACGAUGCCUGUGGUCAGUGCACACACAUGUCUCAAACCCUCAGAAGAGCCUCUUGCUGCCAAUUAUCCAAUGGGAAGUCUGGGGCCGGGAGCGCUCUUCCGUAAUUGCUAAGUUGGCACCAGACUGUGAAAUAAAUAUUGAGGCUGUCAGUCC
Molecule: long non-coding RNA, 3112 nt
Filed under: Homo sapiens (human)
Lineage: Eukaryota; Metazoa; Chordata; Mammalia; Primates; Hominidae
Description: FHAD1 antisense RNA 1 (FHAD1-AS1)
Source: RNAcentral